RNAcentral lists this ribosomal RNA (429 nucleotides) under Bacteroidota bacterium. RNAcentral describes it as "Bacteroidetes bacterium partial 16S ribosomal RNA". It matches the Rfam family "Bacterial small subunit ribosomal RNA", at positions 355 to 776 of the family's 1533-position model. Lineage: Bacteria; Pseudomonadati; Bacteroidota. The record is from RNAcentral.
UAGGGAAUCUUCGGCAAUGGGGGGAACCCUGACCGAGCAACGCCGCGUGAGUGAAGAAGGUUUUCGGAUCGUAAAGCUCUGUUGUUAAGGAAGAACGAGUGUGAGAAUGGAAAGUUCAUACUGUGACGGUACUUAACCAGAAAGGGACGGCUAACUACGUGUCAGCAGCCGCGGUAAUACGUAGGUCCCGAGCGUUGUCCGGAUUUAUUGGGCGGAAAGCGAGCGCAGGCGGUUAGAUAAGUCUGAAGUUAAAGGCAGUGGAUCUACAAUUGUAGGCUUUGGAAACUGUUUAACUUGAGUGCAGAAGGGGAGAGUGGAAUUCCAUGUGUAGCGGUGAAAUGCGUAGAUAUAUGGAGGAACACCGGUGGCGAAAGCGGCUCUCUGGUCUAUAACUGACGAUGAGGCUCGAAAGCGUGGGGAGCGAACAGG